This 2383-nucleotide ribosomal RNA is filed under the name gut metagenome. RNAcentral's name for it is "bacterial LSU rRNA". It matches the Rfam family "Bacterial large subunit ribosomal RNA", at positions 1 to 2415 of the family's 2925-position model. The record is from RNAcentral.
GAAAGUAAGCAAGGGCAGACGGUGGAUGCCUUGGCUCUCGGAGGCGACGAAGGACGUGAUAAGCUGCGAAAAGCCCGGGGGAGGCGCAAAUAGCCCUUGAUCCCGGGAUAUCCGAAUGGGGCAACCCGGCAGGCUGAAGGCCUGUCAUCCCGUAAGGGAGGCGAACGUGGGGAACUGAAACAUCUAAGUACCCAUAGGAGGAGAAAAUAAACAAUGAUUCCGUAAGUAGUGGCGAGCGAACACGGAAGAGCCCAAACCCAUGUCGUCUAGGCGACACGGGGGUUGUAGGACCACGACGUGGCAAGAAGGAAGGGAAAUGGAACGCCUUGGAAAAGUCGGCCAUAGACGGUGAAAGCCCGGUACAUGACUCCCUUACGAAGCCUAGUGGUAUCCUGAGUAGCGCGGGGCACGAGAAAUCUUGCGUGAAACAGCGGGGCCCAUCCCGUAAGGCUAAAUACUCCCGAGAGACCGAUAGCGAACCAGUACCGUGAGGGAAAGGUGAAAAGAACCCCGAGCAGGGGAGUGAAAUAGACCCUGAACCCGUCUGCCUACAAGCGGUCGGAGCGUCGUAAUGACGUGACGGCGUGCCUUUUGCAUAAUGAACCUACGAGUUACCUUCCCCGGCAAGGUUAAGUACCUAAGGUACGGAGCCGAAGCGAAAGCGAGUCUGAACAGGGCGCCAAGUCGGGGGGGGUAGACGCGAAACCGAGUGAUCUACCCUUGGCCAGGUUGAAGGUUGGGUAACACCAACUGGAGGACCGGAUGGGUAAGCGUUGAAAAGCUUUCCAAUGAGCUGAGGGUAGGGGUGAAAGGCUAAUCAAACUCGGAGAUAGCUCGUACUCCCCGAAAUGCAUUUAGGUGCAGCCUCUUUAUAGUAUAUCGUGAGGUAGAGCGACUGAUUGGAUGCGAGGGCUUCACCGCCUAUCAAGUCCAGAUAAACUCCGAAUGCGCGAUAUAUAUUUACAGGGAGUGAGGGCGCGGGUGCUAAGGUCCGUGUCCGAGAGGAGAAGAAUCCAGACCACCGGCUAAGGCCCCCAAAUGAUCGUUAAGUUGAACUAACGAGGUCGGAUCGCAGAGACAGCUAGGAUGUUGGCUUGGAAGCAGCCAUUCAUUUAAAGAGUGCGUAACAGCUCACUAGUCGAGCGAUCUGGCGUGGAUAAUAAUCGGGCAUAAACGAUCUGCCGAAGCCGUGGAUGUCGCAAGACAUGGUAGGGGAGCAUUCCAUGCCGCGUCGAAGAUGAGGGGUGACCCUUGUUGGAGCGCAUGGAAAAGCAAAUGUAGGUAUGAGUAACGAUAAGGGGGGCGAGAAACCCCCCCGCCGAAAGACCAAGGUUUCCUGAUCAACGCUAAUCGGAUCAGGGUGAGUCGGGACCUAAGGCAAAGCCGAACGGCGCCGCCGAUGGAAGAAUGGGUUAAUAUUCCCAUACUGCCUCAUGGAGUGACGUGGAGACGGAGAAGUGACAGUCCUGCCGGCUGACGGAAUAGCCGGUUGAAGGGUGUAGAUAUUGAUUCCCGUAGGCAAAUCCGCGGGGAGAGUCGAACCUGAGAGUAUACGGAGCGCUUGCGCAACGUAAUAUGGACGUAACCAUGCUCCCGAGAAAAUCCGCUAAACUUAUCCAUGCGGCACCCGUACCGUAAACGGACACACGUGGUCGGGUUGAGAAUACUGAGGCGCUCGAGUGAUUCACGGUUAAGGAACUAGGCAAAUUGACCCUGUAACUUCGGGAUAAAGGGUCCUCGUCGUAAGGCGAGGCGCAGAGAAUAGGUCCAGGCAACUGUUUAACAAAAACACAUGGCUGUGCUAAAUGGAAACAUGAUGUAUACAGCCUGACACCUGCCCGGUGCCGGAAGGUUAAGAGGAGAUGUCAUCCGCGAGGAGAAGCGUUGAAUUGAAGCCCCGGUAAACGGCGGCCGUAACUAUAACGGUCCUAAGGUAGCGAAAUUCCUUGUCGGGUAAGUUCCGACCUGCACGAAUGGUGUAAUGAUCUGGACACUGUCUCAACCGUGAGCUCGGUGAAAUUGUAGUAUCGGUGAAGAUGCCGAUUACCCGCGAUGGGACGAAAAGACCCCGUGAACCUUUACUAUAGCUUUACAUUGAGUUUGGGCAGACGAUGUGUAGGAUAGGCCGGAGGCAUUGAAGCAGGUACGCCAGUAUUUGUGGAGCCGACGUUGAAAUACGGCCCUUCGGUUGUUUGAGUUCUAACUCCUAGUUAGGAGGACACUGUAUGGUGGGUAGUUUGACUGGGGUGGUCGCCUCCAAAAGCGUAACGGAGGCUUCUAAAGGUGCCCUCAGACCGAUUGGUAACCGGUCGCAGAGUGUAAUGGCAUAAGGGCGCUUGACUGGGAGACAUACAAGUCGAUCAGGUAGGAAACUAGAGCAUAG